GAUGAAGAACGUAGCGAAACGCGAUAGGUAAUGUGAAUUGCAGAAUUCCGUGAAUCAUCGAAUCUUUGAACGCACAUUGCGCCUGCUGGUAUUCCGGUAGGCAUGUCUGUUUGAGCGUCAGCAAAAACUCUCAGCCAAUUACUUUUGUAAGAAAGCUGGUCAUGGGUGUUGGAGGAAUUUUGGUCCUUUGUGGCCAGCUCCCACCUUAAACUUGCUGCACGACCGCAAGCUAAUGCUAGGUUAAUGAAGUGGUAUUAUUAUAAUUUCAGCAACUGUUCAAUAGCUUAGCGGCGUUAAACCCGAUGUCUCAAUUUAUUGUGACUGAAGUUUGACCUCAAAUCAGAUAAGGAUACCCGCUGAACUUAAGCAUAUCAAUAAGCGGAGGA
RNAcentral lists this unclassified non-coding RNA (386 nucleotides) under soil metagenome. RNAcentral describes it as "partial contains 5.8S ribosomal RNA, internal transcribed spacer 2, and large subunit ribosomal RNA". The stretch from base 1 to 120 matches the Rfam family "5.8S ribosomal RNA", at positions 35 to 154 of the family's 154-position model. The record is from RNAcentral.